This 253-nucleotide ribosomal RNA is filed under the name uncultured bacterium. RNAcentral's name for it is "partial 16S ribosomal RNA". It matches the Rfam family "Bacterial small subunit ribosomal RNA", at positions 524 to 776 of the family's 1533-position model. The record is from RNAcentral.
UACAGAGGGGGCAAGCGUUAUUCGGAAUUAUUGGGCGUUAAGGGUGCGUAGGCGGCGCGGUAAGUCGGGUGUGAAAUCUUGGAGCUUAACUCCGAAACUGCAUUCGAUACUGCCGUGCUUGAGGACUGGAGAGGAGACUGGAAUUUACGGUGUAGCGGUGAAAUGCGUAGAUAUCGUAAGGAAGACCAGUGGCUAAGGCGGGUCUCUGGACAGUUCCUGACGCUGAGGCACGAAGGCCAGGGGAGCAAACGGG